Molecule: ribosomal RNA, 289 nt
Filed under: uncultured bacterium
Lineage: Bacteria
Description: partial 16S ribosomal RNA
Source: RNAcentral
CUACAGGGGUAUCUAAUCCUGUUUGCUCCCCACGCUUUCGUGCCUCAGCGUCAAUGUCGGUCCAGAUAGCCGCUUUCGCCACUGGUGUUCCUGUCAAUAUCUACGCAUUUCACUGCUACACUGACAAUUCCGCUAUCCUCUCCCGAAUUCGAGUCUUGUAGUUUCAAAAGCAAUUCCAGGGUUAAGCCCUGGGCUUUCACUUCUGACUUACAAAACAGCCUACGCACGCUUUACGCCCAGUGAUUCCGAAUAACGCUCGCCCCCUUCGUAUUACCGCGGCUGCUGGCAC